UGGCGGCCUUAGCGCGGUGGUCCCACCUGACCCCAUGCCGAACUCAGAAGUGAAACGUCGUAGCGCCGAUGGUAGUGUGGGGUCUCCCCAUGCGAGAGUAGGAAACUGCCA
RNAcentral lists this ribosomal RNA (111 nucleotides) under Escherichia coli. Lineage: Bacteria; Pseudomonadati; Pseudomonadota; Gammaproteobacteria; Enterobacterales; Enterobacteriaceae. The record is from RNAcentral.